RNAcentral lists this small nuclear RNA (107 nucleotides) under Catagonus wagneri (Chacoan peccary). The record is from RNAcentral. Lineage: Eukaryota; Metazoa; Chordata; Mammalia; Artiodactyla; Tayassuidae.
GUGAUCACUCUGGCAGCACCUAUCACAACAUCAGAAUGAAACAGAGAAGGUUAGCAUGGCCCCUGUGCAAAGAUGACAUGCAGAGUCAUGGAGCGUUUCAUGCUUUU